Molecule: small nucleolar RNA, 132 nt
Organism: Peromyscus californicus insignis
Lineage: Eukaryota; Metazoa; Chordata; Mammalia; Rodentia; Cricetidae
Product: small nucleolar RNA SNORA40
Exons: 1
Source: RefSeq, a predicted model, not a curated record
UCAACCAAUUCAAGUAUGUUUUAUUGUCUCCAAAACAUAUUCUAUAGGUUGGUACAAAAAUAAAUAAAUUUUCUUUUGCAACCCAGAACUCAAUGUCCCCUAUGAAUUUUUGUACAGGUAAGAAGAAAUAUG